This 465-nucleotide ribosomal RNA is filed under the name uncultured bacterium. RNAcentral's name for it is "partial 16S ribosomal RNA". It matches the Rfam family "Bacterial small subunit ribosomal RNA", at positions 28 to 507 of the family's 1533-position model. The record is from RNAcentral.
GACGAACGCUGGCGGCGUGCUUAACACAUGCAAGUCGAACGGAAAGGCCCUGCUUGCAGGGUACUCGAGUGGCGAACGGGUGAGUAACACGUGGGUGAUCUGCCCUGCACUUCGGGAUAAGCUUGGGAAACUGGGUCUAAUACCGGAUAGGAACCAUCUUUAGUGUGGUGGUUGGAAAGUUUUUUCGGUGUAGGAUGAGCUCGCGGCCUAUCAGCUUGUUGGUGGGGUAAUGGCCUACCAAGGCGGCGACGGGUAGCCGGCCUGGGAGGGUGUACGGCCAAAAUGGGGAUGGGAUACGGCCCAGACUCCUACGGGGGGCAGCAGUGGGGAAUAUUGGAAAAAGGGCGCAAGCCUGAUGCAGCGACGCCGCGUGGGGGAUGAAGGCCUUCGGGUUGUAAACUCCUUUCGCUAGGGACGAAGCUUUUUGUGACGGUACCUAGAUAAGAAGCACCGGCUAACUACGUG